Molecule: ribosomal RNA, 407 nt
Filed under: uncultured bacterium
Lineage: Bacteria
Description: bacterial SSU rRNA
Rfam family: Bacterial small subunit ribosomal RNA
Source: RNAcentral
AGCCCUUGACAUGGACGUCGCGACUUCAGAGAUGAAGUUUUCGGUUCGGCCGGACGUUACACAGGUGCUGCAUGGCUGUCGUCAGCUCGUGUCGUGAGAUGUUGGGUUAAGUCCCGCAACGAGCGCAACCCUCAUCCUUAGUUGCCAUCAGUUCGGCUGGGCACUCUAGGGAAACUGCCGGUGAUAAACCGGAGGAAGGCGGGGACGACGUCAAGUCAUCAUGGCCCUUAUGGGAUGGGCUACACACGUGCUACAAUGGGGGGUACAAAGAGCAGCCAACUGGCAACAGUGCGCGAAUCUCAUAAAACCUCUCGUAGUCCGGAUCGGAGUCUGCAACUCGACUCCGUGAAGUCGGAAUCGCUAGUAAUCGUGAAUCAGAAUGUCACGGUGAAUACGUUCCCGGGCCU